RNAcentral lists this transfer RNA (72 nucleotides) under Pestalotiopsis fici W106-1. Its description in RNAcentral is "tRNA-Pro (CGG) (tRNA-Pro-CGG-1-1)". It matches the Rfam family "tRNA". From Rfam's summary of the family: Transfer RNA (tRNA) molecules are approximately 80 nucleotides in length. Their secondary structure includes four short double-helical elements and three loops (D, anti-codon, and T loops). Further hydrogen bonds mediate the characteristic L-shaped molecular structure. tRNAs have two regions of fundamental functional importance: the anti-codon, which is responsible for specific mRNA codon recognition, and the 3' end, to which the tRNAs corresponding amino acid is attached (by aminoacyl-tRNA synthetases). tRNAs cope with the degeneracy of the genetic code in two manners: having more than one tRNA (with a specific anti-codon) for a particular amino acid; and 'wobble' base-pairing, i.e. permitting non-standard base-pairing at the 3rd anti-codon position. Lineage: Eukaryota; Fungi; Ascomycota; Sordariomycetes; Amphisphaeriales; Sporocadaceae. The record is from RNAcentral.
GCCCUGCUGGUCUAGUGGUAUGAUACCUGCUUCGGGUGCAGGUGGCCCCCGGUUCGAAUCCGGGGUAGGGCC